RNAcentral lists this ribosomal RNA (253 nucleotides) under uncultured bacterium. RNAcentral's name for it is "partial 16S ribosomal RNA". It matches the Rfam family "Bacterial small subunit ribosomal RNA", at positions 524 to 776 of the family's 1533-position model. The record is from RNAcentral.
UACGGGGGGGGCAAGCGUUGUUCGGAAUUACUGGGCGUAAAGGGCUCGUAGGUGGCCAACUAAGUCAGACGUGAAAUCCCCAGGCUUAACCUGGGAACUGCGUCUGAUACUGGAUGGCUUGAAUUCGGGAGAGGGAUGCAGAAUUCCAGGUGUAGCGGUGAAAUGCGUAGAUAUCUGGAGGAAUACCGGUGGCGAAGGCAAUCCCCUGGGCCUGCACUGACGCUCAUGCACGAAAGCGUGGGGAGCAAACAGG